AAUUUAAUUUUUGAUUUUGAAAGAUUGUUUUUUUUUCUAUAAAUGAUGAUUAUUGACUUCUUGCCAAAGCCUUCAAGUGUUGACUUGUGAUUUAUUCAAACUUAAAAUACUUUCAAUAUAUUUCAAUUAUAAUAAUUAUUAAACUAUGCUCUGGUAUAGAGCAAGAUAAGUUAAACAAACAAAACGGAAGAGCCUUCAGAAAUGUGUUAUCAAAUCAAAUUUAAUAUUAAAUUUAUAUUUUUCAAACUCAUUGAAUAGCAAGUACCUUUGUUUACCUAUCGUUUAUGAAGGUUAGGUAGUAAAAAUAAAAAUAUGCAAUAACUACACCAAGAACAACAACAAAAACAACAAUUAUCAUCUUGUCUUCCUCCGCGGUAAACUUACCUAAAGCGUACACCGUACAUUUAAUGUGAGUAUGUACUUCUGUUUCACAUCAGGUGUGUGGGACUUGGUUAGGGUAUGGAGACUGUGCAGUGCACAAAACUAACUAUCACAGAGCAAUAAUUGCCCUACUUUCCGUCGUCGUCGUCGUAGAAGCAAGUAUUUCUGCUACUCAAAGUCAUAAGCUGCUACUGCAGCUCCAAAACCGUGCGGAGCAGUGUGGUAUAAAUGUGCUUGCAUCUAUGACCAGACCACGCAUCGCAUAGAAACAGGUAUCUAACUCUAGCCGCUUUAGUAUUAUAAAGUAUCUGGAAAUGCAAAGCCUGAUAUCUAAUAGAUACAAAUAUACUCGUAAGAAACGAAGAAACAUGAAUAUUAUGGUGAACCAGCAAUUUCGUGCGUCUUUAUACCAUGCCUGGUUAUAAGGAACUGGUUAUAGUCUUUAAGGAGUCGAGAGGAGUGCAAAAAUAUUUUCUUUAUGAUGGAAGAUGGAAAAAUCUAUAGGUACACAACAAAAACAACAACAUUGAUGAUGGAUAUACGAAGCACCUCAUCAGGAACAAAACAAAUUAUAUACUAGGUAUCUGUGUAUCUCAUUGUGGAAUAGAAAUAUAAUACGGAAAGAUAAAAUAUUAGAAACAAAAAAAAAAGAAAGAUAUUUUGGAUA
This is a long non-coding RNA of Eupeodes corollae, 1048 nucleotides long. RefSeq lists it as uncharacterized. Lineage: Eukaryota; Metazoa; Arthropoda; Insecta; Diptera; Syrphidae. The record is from RefSeq and is a predicted model, not a curated record. The transcript is spliced from 2 exons.